This 304-nucleotide ribosomal RNA is filed under the name uncultured bacterium. RNAcentral describes it as "partial 16S ribosomal RNA". It matches the Rfam family "Bacterial small subunit ribosomal RNA", at positions 506 to 807 of the family's 1533-position model. The record is from RNAcentral.
CAGCAGCCGCCGCGGUAAAACAGAGGGUGCGAGCGUUAAUCGGAUUUACUGGGCGUAAAGCGUGCGUAGGCGGCUUUUUAAGUCGGAUGUGAAAUCCCUGAGCUUAACUUAGGAAUUGCAUUCGAUACUGGGAAGCUAGAGUAUGGGAGAGGAUGGUAGAAUUCCAGGUGUAGCGGUGAAAUGCGUAGAGAUCUGGAGGAAUACCGAUGGCGAAGGCAGCCAUCUGGCCUAAUACUGACGCUGAGGUACGAAAGCAUGGGGAGCAAACAGGAUUAGAUACCCCCGUAGUCCCUGUCUCUUAUAC